Hippocampus comes (tiger tail seahorse) is the source of this 1296-nucleotide long non-coding RNA. RefSeq lists it as uncharacterized. The record is from RefSeq and is a predicted model, not a curated record. The transcript has 2 exons. Lineage: Eukaryota; Metazoa; Chordata; Actinopteri; Syngnathiformes; Syngnathidae.
AAAAAAAACCUUUGUGUGCACAGGUGGAGCACUCAGCAUGACUGAUGCGUGAAACCCAAAACCUUCAGGUGUGAUUAAAGAGCAGAGGCGCCCCGAUGCUAAGACGGAGCCCCCGUACAACUGUGGGAAGCGUCUCCGAUGACACCCAAGGCGUAAUUCGACACUUUUUGCCUUCACCGUCACUCGGAUGAUGGAUGAGAUAAGGGCGCCGCGCACCUCUUGACACCUGCGCUUUUGCAUUUCUGUGCCAUCGGAUCCGAUUAAACGGAUCAUUUUGGGCAGAAUCCGGUUUCACGCCGGGAGUUAGAUGGCACCCGUGAGGCAUGAAGCGCACACAACAUUCUUUUAGUACAAAUAAAUAGUUCAGCCUUUACUUGGUCAAUUCAGUUUAAUUGAUGAUAAGUUAUGAAUCCAGGUGAGGAGUUAUCUUUUAUGGGUCGAUCGCAAAGCUCACUGGCGCUGUCUGAAAACUAAAUGGAAAAAAAAAAUAUAGACCCCAACAGCGGUUUCACCGGUCAUCGGGAAGUUGGGUACCACCCAAAGAGGACGCACAAGAAAGUCUUAACGGGAAGUCCAUCAUUUUGGUCUGAAGGAUUUAAUUUCGAUGAACACCUACUGAAAAAAUUCGCCCAAAUUGAAAUUCUUAUUUCCGACACAGAUGGGUGGUUUUUUUUUAACCUAUGCUGUGUCAACUGGGUAAAACACGACAUCAAGAUUUGAUGAUAAUUUCAAAUAAAUCCCUUUUUUUUGGGGGGGGCGCUUCAACGUGGUGAGAAGUGAAAACCCCUACCCCCCCGUCCCGACCCGAAAAUUUAUUGAGAAGUGUAAAAAUAAGGCUGACGCGAGUUUCACCGAUUGACACGAAAGUGGCACCUGGAAAAAAAAUUCUCAACACACGUCUUGAAAGUGAACAGGAAGUCAACCAAUUUGGUCUGGACCAUCAGUUUUCUAUCAUCAAUUCCAGGACUCGUACUUUUAUAACUUUCAAAUCGGGAUUUUCCCCCAACUGGGUCCUGCUCAGAAUCAGGUAUCCUAACUCUUUGUUUACCACAUGAAGCAGUGCGAGUGAUGCAGGUGGAAGGCGGGUCCGAUUGCAGCAAGUUUCACUGCAAACAGCGGUUGGGGCUUGGAAGCAGGUGACCCCACAGACAAGUGUCAAAAGUACCUCACGUUUAGUUUGUACUUGUGGUAAUUUGGAGUUGUGUACAACCACCUCUACCUCACAUCGAGAGACAAUAGUCACCUUACUUAACUCAUUCAAUGCCACGGACGUUUUUUUUUCUUCGUGUUUUUAAA